This 253-nucleotide ribosomal RNA is filed under the name uncultured bacterium. Its description in RNAcentral is "partial 16S ribosomal RNA". It matches the Rfam family "Bacterial small subunit ribosomal RNA", at positions 524 to 776 of the family's 1533-position model. The record is from RNAcentral.
UACGUAGGGUGCGAGCGUUGUCCGGAAUUACUGGGCGUAAAGAGCUCGUAGGUGGUUUGUCGCGUUGUUCGUGAAAACCUGAGGCUUAACCUUGGGCGUGCGGGCGAUACGGGCAGACUGGAGUACUGCAGGGGAGACUGGAAUUCCUGGUGUAGCGGUGGAAUGCGCAGAUAUCAGGAGGAACACCGGUGGCGAAGGCGGAUCUCUGGGCCUUACCUGACGCUGAGGAGCGAAAGCAUGGGGAGCAAACAGG